CGGAGUGAGUGGCAGACGGGUGAGUAACGCGUGGGAACCUUCCCAAUGGUACGGAAUAACUCCGGGAAACCGGUGCUAAUACCGGAUGUGGUCUUCGGACGAAAGGAAGCUUCGGCCUCCGCAUCGGGAUGGGCCCGCGGCGCAUUAGCUUGUUGGUGGGGUAACGGCCUACCAAGGCGACGAUGCGUAGCUGGUCUGAGAGGACGAUCAGCCACACUGGGACUGAGACACGGCCCAGACUCCUACGGGAGGCAGCAGUGGGGAAUCUUGCGCAAUGCGCGAAAGCGUGACGCAGCAACGCCGCGUGGGGGAAGAAGGCCUUCGGGUUGUAAACCUCUUUCAGUUGGGACGAAGCCUCGUUGGUUAAUAGCUGACUGGGGUGACGGUACCUUCAGAAGAAGCCCCGGCUAACUACGUGCCAGCAGCCGCGGUAAUACGUAGGGGGCAAGCGUUGUCCGGAAUCAUUGGGCGUAAAGAGCGUGUAGGCGGCCCGAUAAGUCCGCUGUGAAAGUCCAGGGCUCAACCCUGGGAUGCCGGUGGAUACUGUCGGGCUCGAAUCCGGAAGAGGUGAGUGGAAUUCCUGGUGUAGCGGUGAAAUGCGCAGAUAUCAGGAGGAACACCAAUGGCGAAGGCAGCUCACUGGGACGGUAUUGACGCUGAGACGCGAAAGCGUGGGGAGCAAACAGGAUUAGA
This 693-nucleotide ribosomal RNA is filed under the name uncultured Actinomycetes bacterium. Its description in RNAcentral is "bacterial SSU rRNA". It matches the Rfam family "Bacterial small subunit ribosomal RNA", at positions 87 to 782 of the family's 1533-position model. Lineage: Bacteria; Bacillati; Actinomycetota; Actinomycetes. The record is from RNAcentral.